GCCGGCAGCCAUAUCACCCUGUAGCCCAAGACUGGUUGCCCACUGAAGCUAAGCAGGGCUGAGUACCUGGAUGGGAGACCUCCUGGGACAACUAGGUUGCUGCUGGAA
RNAcentral lists this ribosomal RNA (108 nucleotides) under Sinocyclocheilus anshuiensis. Lineage: Eukaryota; Metazoa; Chordata; Actinopteri; Cypriniformes; Cyprinidae. The record is from RNAcentral.